This 492-nucleotide ribosomal RNA is filed under the name uncultured bacterium. RNAcentral describes it as "partial 16S ribosomal RNA". It matches the Rfam family "Bacterial small subunit ribosomal RNA", at positions 29 to 507 of the family's 1533-position model. The record is from RNAcentral.
AGUGAACGCUGGCGGUAGGCCUAACACAUGCAAGUCGAACGGCAGCACAGUAAGAGCUUGCUCUUACGGGUGGCGAGUGGCGGACGGGUGAGGAAUACAUCGGAAUCUACCUUUUCGUGGGGGAUAACGUAGGGAAACUUACGCUAAUACCGCAUACGACCUACAGGUGAAAGCAGGGGAUCUUCGGACCUUGCGCGAUUGAAUGAGCCGAUGUCGGAUUAGCUAGUUGGCGGGGUAAAGGCCCACCAAGGCGGCGAUCCGUAGCUGGUCUGAGAGGAUGAUCAGCCACACUGGAACUGAGACACGGUCCAGACUCCUACGGGAGGCAGCAGUGGGGAAUAUUGGACAAUGGGCGCAAGCCUGAUCCAGCCAUACCGCGUGGGUGAAGAAGGCCUUCGGGUUGUAAAGCCCUUUUGUUGGGAAAGAAAAGCAGCAGGUUAAUACCCCGCUGUUCUGACGGUACCCAAAGAAUAAGCACCGGCUAACUUCGUG